AAGGUUGAAGAUUGACUAAAGAUUUUGGAUUAGGAGUUUUAAGCAUUGCAACAAACAGGGUAAGUAAUUAGUUGGUGACUUUAAUCAUAUGAGAAUGGUGUAUUGAUUGUAUAGCAAGACUAUCUUUUGCUUUUUACAAACUACUUUCCAUUACAUUACAAUUGAAAAUGAAUUGAAACAAAAGAAAGGGAUGUCAAAAGCGA
RNAcentral lists this long non-coding RNA (203 nucleotides) under Populus trichocarpa (black cottonwood). RNAcentral describes it as "long non-coding RNA (PTRI_LNC002397)". Lineage: Eukaryota; Viridiplantae; Streptophyta; Magnoliopsida; Malpighiales; Salicaceae. The record is from RNAcentral.